CAAAAGGCUCUUUUCAGAGCCAAUUUUUUUUUUUAAAUUUUCU
Stegodyphus mimosarum is the source of this 43-nucleotide non-coding RNA. The record is from Rfam. NCBI's taxonomy places the organism in Eukaryota, Metazoa, Arthropoda, Arachnida, Araneae, Eresidae.